This is a long non-coding RNA of Vigna unguiculata (cowpea), 2836 nucleotides long. NCBI's taxonomy places the organism in Eukaryota, Viridiplantae, Streptophyta, Magnoliopsida, Fabales, Fabaceae. The record is from RefSeq and is a predicted model, not a curated record.
GAACGGAGAGGUGAGCGAACAGAGAGCGUCACAUCCAAGGAUCCUCGCCCAGCUAGAAUGGCAGCAGCGAGAAUGGCGAGGCUGCGGAGGAAGGAGAGGAAUCAGAUGGUCUGAGAGGCGUCUGGCUCGUCGAGGAAUAGUUCCUCAGGCACAAGGAAAGCACUAUGGAGGCAAUCGACCACGAUGCCGAGCAUGAGAGCGGAGAUGAAGGUGGAGCUGACGCUAGUGAUGAACACGACGAAGACGGUGAGCCCAAUAACUAGGGUUUCAAAAUCUUUAACCGAUACAAAGCUCAAUUGAUUUGUGUGGUGUGUUGAACUUGCUCUUUUCGAGUAUUUUGCUGGAGAGAAAGAAAGUGUUUUGCAAGUAAGUUCAUGUUUUGCAAAAGGUGCAAUGGUGCUUAUCAUUGUUCGGUCUGCAACCUCCUCAUAAGUUCAAUUUUGAAAUGCUAGAGUGGGAGGGCAAGGAUUUCUUAAAAGAUGUUCUGUAUCCAAUCUAAGGCCUAUAAACGUGAAGGUUGAAUAUUUCAUUUUUCAGGUGUUUCUGCUGUAGUCCAGGGAGAAAAUAAUGACAACUGCAAGGAAAGAGAAAAAGAGAGAGAGGCUCGAAGAGAAGAGAAGCCUAAGAAAGCAACUUUGUUGGAAAAGCUUGAAGAUGGGGAUUCUAUUGCUGCAAGCAUGCUGCAGGGCUCUCAAAUUAAUAAUGAAAAAGAAGCUGGUUUAAUAACUAAUUCCAUUAAUAGUGUCACUCAACUGAAGGAGAGGUUGUCAAGUCAUAAUCCAUACAGAGGCAAGUCUGACUCCGUUAGGUUUGUUGAGUAUUGGGUUCCUGUACAAAUAUCUAAUAUGCAGCUUGAACAAUAUUGUUCUAUUUUACUGUCAAAUGCUUCUAUUCUGCGCUCCUCAUCAAAGGUUGAUAGCAUUGAGGCCGUUCGUGAUGUUCUUAUAUUAACUCGGAAGUGUUGUAGUCAUCCCUAACAAGGGUCUCGAACCGUCUCAGUAUCUUGAUUUUGAUUUAAAAGCAAGUGGCAAGUUGCAACUUCUUGAUUCAAUGCUUGAGGAGUUGAGAAAAAGUGAUUUAAGGGUGCUCAUUCUUUUUCAGGUACACAUUUCAGACUGUCUACCCAUUAAGUCAUUAAAUUUACAUCAUCAUCUAUUAGUUUCUUUAGCUUCAUAGUUAUCAAUCACAAUGAGGAGUGGCUGACCACAAAAAUGUUGUAGUUGGGUGACUCUAGUAAAACUAAAACUUGUGAGGGAGUCUCUAUGUUAGUGAGGCACAUGAUAGACCAAGUUCAAAGUGAGGUAAGCCAACUCAAAGAUAAGACAUUUUUCAAACAAGAUGCAUCAUUAAUAAGUGGAUUUGCUCUUUAAUUAUUGAUGGAAGAAGUAGUACCAAUGUGGUUAGCACAAGGUUGGUGGAAAAACUUAGCUUAGAAAUCAUUCCUCAUGCUAAGCCUUGCAAGCUUACUUGGAUAAGUAAGGAGGGAGAAAUAAAUGUCAAUAAACGAGUCCUAAUUAACUUUUCAAUAGGAAGCUACAAAGAUGAGGUCCUAUGUGAUGUUCUCAUGGAAGUCACACAUAUCUUACGAGGUAGGCCAUGACAAUUUGAUGAACAACUUUACAUGAUGGCCAUACCAACAAAUACAUUUUUUUCAUACAUGGGAAAAAGAUCACUUUACUACCUCUAUGAUUUCUAGUAGUUAAUAAGGAUGAAAAUAUAAUAAAAGAAGAAAAAGAAGAAAAAGAAAAAGGGCAAGUCUUUACCAAGGUGUUAGUUGCCUACAAAAAGAGUUUUCCAAAGCAAGAUGUGCACCACCAUUCUUCCUCUUCUUCCCAAACCAAGAAAGAAGAACAAAGGCACAAGCAAGAGAGGAAGAGUGGCUUAUAAAAGUAACAUGGCCUCUCCAAGGCUAGGGUUGGAACCCUUAGAAAAGAUGGAGAAAGAUCUCAAGAGAAAUUACUUCCUCAACUCAAGUCAAGCUCCAUCAACAAGGAUUUCAAGAAUUUGAGGUCAAAUUCUCUCAAAGAAGGGGAGGAUGAUGUAGGCUUGACCCUUACCAAGGAUAGUGGCCCAAGACAUAUGGUUUGGAGAACCCAUAUGUUUAGAUAGGGAGUUACCUAAUCCCUUCCAUUGUCUUAGCUUUCAUUAUGUUUGAAUUUUCCUAAGUUGACUUUGGUUGACUUGACUUUGAUGGACUUGUUGACUAUUGACUUGAGUUGACCUUAGUUGACAUGGUAAUCCUUAUUUAUUUGUUUUGUAGGUUUGCUUAUGGUAAUUAGGAGAGAAUGAACACUAAUGGGAGUGGAUUAAGACAUGUCUACAUGGAAAGCAUAAAGCAUAAAACAUGUGUGAUGUGGAUGAGAGAGGAAAACAUAAAGCAUAACACAUAAAGCAACAUGAGCAUAUGGUCCUCCUUGUACCUUGGACGAAAUUCACACAAAGAGACCACCUAGUCUACUCCAUUUUUGUCAUCUUAUGUAUUAGGUUUAACCUAGUUUCUAGAGGCUAGAGUUUUGUAAUUGUUUAGCUACCCUUUUGCACUUUUGGUUUUUGUUUAGAGGCCCCUAUAACUUUCUAUUUAAGGGGUGCUCUUUGACAUGUACGAUGGUUGAUCAAUUUGAGUAUUUUCUAUAUUGUUUCAACCACAUUUUCGUGAGCUUUUCCUCCAAGGAGUGGAGGUUCUCCUUUGCCUUGUCUUAAGUAAUCAAGUGACGACACAACAUCACUUAUCUCCAAGGGUUGGUUAGCCUUAUGGCCCCACUAUGAGUGGCAUGCUCCCUUGCUCCAUUACCAUCUUCUUAUGCUUCCAUAUUCUUCUUGUUUUCCUUCAUUUUAA